This 422-nucleotide ribosomal RNA is filed under the name uncultured prokaryote. RNAcentral describes it as "bacterial SSU rRNA". It matches the Rfam family "Bacterial small subunit ribosomal RNA", at positions 355 to 774 of the family's 1533-position model. The record is from RNAcentral.
UGAGGAAUAUUGGUCAAUGGGCGAGAGCCUGAACCAGCCAAGUCGCGUGAAGGAAGAAGGUUCUAUGGAUUGUAAACUUCUUUUGUAAGGGAAUAAAAAGAGUUACGUGUAACUUAUUGUCUGUACUUUACGAAUAAGGAUCGGCUAACUCCGUGCCAGCAGCCGCGGUAAUACGGAGGAUCCAAGCGUUAUCCGGAUUUAUUGGGUGUAAAGGGUGCGUAGGCGGGCCCUUAAGUCAGUGGUGAAAGUUUGCAGCUUAACUGUAAAAUUGCCAUUGAAACGGAGGGGCGUGAGUGUAAAUAAGGUAGGCGGAAUGUGUUGUGUAGCGGUGAAAUGCUUAGAUAUAACACAGAACACCAAUUGCGAAGGCAGCUUACUGGGAUACAACUGACGCUGAGGCACGAAAGCGUGGGGAUCAAACA